This 139-nucleotide ribosomal RNA is filed under the name uncultured eukaryote. RNAcentral's name for it is "partial 18S ribosomal RNA". It matches the Rfam family "Eukaryotic small subunit ribosomal RNA", at positions 1299 to 1458 of the family's 1831-position model. The record is from RNAcentral.
UGGUGGAGUGGUUUGUCUGGUUAAUUCCGUUAACGAACGAGACCUUAACCUGCUAAAUAGUUACAGGAAUCUUGGAUUCCUGAAUAACUUCUUAGAGGGACUAUGGAUGUUUAAUCCAUGGAAGUUUGAGGCAAUAACA